UCGAUGACGCUGGCGGCAGGCCUAUCACAUGCAGUCGAGCGGAAACGACAACAUUGACCCUUCGGGUGAUUUGUUGGGCGUCGAGCGGCGGACGGGUGAGUAAUGCCUGGGAAAUUGCCCUGAUGUGGGGGAUAACCAUUGGAAACGAUGGCUAAUACCGCAUAAUAGCUUCGGCUCAAAGAGGGGGACCUUCGGGCCUCUCGCGUCAGGAUAUGCCCAGGUGGGAUUAGCUAGUUGGUGAGGUAAGGGCUCACCAAGGCAACGAUCCCUAGCUGGUCUGAGAGGAUGAUCAGCCACACUGGAACUGAGACACGGUCCAGACUCCUACGGGAGGCAGCAGUGGGGAAUAUUGCACAAUGGGCGCAAGCCUGAUGCAGCCAUGCCGCGUGUAUGAAGAAGGCCUUCGGGUUGUAAAGUACUUUCAGCAGUGAGGAAGGUUCAUGCGUUAAUAGCGUAUGGAUUUGACGUUAGCUGCAGAAGAAGCACCGGCUAACUCCGUGCCAGCAGCCGCGGUAAUACGGAGGGUGCGAGCGUUAAUCGGAAUUACUGGGCGUAAGCGCAUGCAGGUGGUUUGUUAAGUCAGAUGUGAAAGCCCGGGGCUCAACCUCGGAAUUGCAUUUGAAACUGGCAGACUAGAGUACUGUAAGGGGGGUAGAUUUCCAGGUGUAGCGGUGAAUGCUAAGAUCGGAGAAACCGGUGAAGGGC
RNAcentral lists this ribosomal RNA (705 nucleotides) under Vibrio sp. S4(2010). RNAcentral describes it as "bacterial SSU rRNA". It matches the Rfam family "Bacterial small subunit ribosomal RNA", at positions 25 to 723 of the family's 1533-position model. The record is from RNAcentral. Lineage: Bacteria; Pseudomonadati; Pseudomonadota; Gammaproteobacteria; Vibrionales; Vibrionaceae.